This 1125-nucleotide long non-coding RNA is filed under the name Pectinophora gossypiella (pink bollworm). RNAcentral's name for it is "uncharacterized LOC126377437". Lineage: Eukaryota; Metazoa; Arthropoda; Insecta; Lepidoptera; Gelechiidae. The record is from RNAcentral.
UGACAAUUACUGAGUAAUUGCUUUGCUUAUUGCAUGCUAAUUGCUGAAAAUUGCUUUUUAUUUUAAAUUCCUUAGCUAAAAAUUGCUUUUUCUUUCACAUUUCUCUGCUUAUUGAAUGACUAUUGCUAACUCAUUAGAUAGAACCUACUUCUCAUAUAAGUAGGUGGAUGCGGCCUCGAUUAGCGGGGGAACCACAUGAAAAAAAGCGAGCUACUGGGUGUACCUCCUGGGUAGUUUGGAAAUCACCUAAUAUAUAUAUGUAUAUAUUUAUAAAUAAAAGUUAAUAUAUAUAAAUUAACAUUAUUUUUUUUUAACAGGAAAUGCACAAUGCUAAAAACUGCGUAGGAGAUUUUAAUACAAUAGUACUACCAAGCCUGAUGUUGGCCGCUAUUUCAAUGAAUGCAGCAGUGUGACAGCUAGCAAUCAAAAGUAACAAGAUAUCGAGGAAAUGCAGAUGGCAAUAAACUGUGUAGGAGUUCAUGAUUGCAAUAGAAUAAAAUCGACCAAGCCUGAAGUCAGCAGCCCCUUCAAUGAAUGCAGCAGUGUGACAGCCAGCAAUCAAAAGUUACAAGAUAUCGAGGAAAUGCAGAAGGAAAAAAACUGCGUAGGAGAUCAUUAAUACAAUAGUAUUAUAUAAACCAAGCCUGAUGUUGGCCGCUCAUUCAAAGAAUGCAGCAGUGUGACAGCCAGCAAUCAAAAGUAACAAGAUGUCGAGGAAAUGCAGAGUGCAAUAAACUGUGUAGGAGAUUAUGAUUGCAAUAGAAUAAAAUCGACCAAGCCUGAAGUCCUUCAAUGCACGCAGCAGUGUGACAGCCAGCAAUCAAAAGUUACAAGAUAUCGAGGAAAUGCAGAAGGCAAAAAACUGCGUAGGAGAUUAUUAAUACAAUAGUAUUAUAUCAACCAAGCCUGAUGUCGGUAGCUUCUUCAAUGAAUGCAGCAGUGUGACAGCCAGCAAUCAAUAGUGACAAGAAUCUAGGAAAUACAGAAGGCAAAGAAGCAGAUGUCAUCAAAGAAGAUCUUUGUUCCUGCAAUGUUUCCGCAGACGAUACAUCCAACAGAGCGAAGUGGAAGGAAAAGACUCGGAAUAAAGACCCCACCACCAUAUGGGAACAAUGCAAGGGAGAG